RNAcentral lists this small nuclear RNA (98 nucleotides) under Mus caroli (Ryukyu mouse). Its description in RNAcentral is "snRNA (MGP_CAROLIEiJ_G0035653.1)". The record is from RNAcentral. Lineage: Eukaryota; Metazoa; Chordata; Mammalia; Rodentia; Muridae.
GUGUUCCCCCAUUCAGCAGCAUGCACACUACAAUUGGAACAAUACAGAAAAGAUUAGUUUGGCAACGAUGACAUGCAAAUUCAAUUCAUAAAAUAUUU